GUCCUACGGGGCGCAGCAGUAGGGAAUUUUCGUCAAUGGGCGCAAGCCUGAACGAGCGAUGCCGCGUGAGUGAAGAAGGCCUUCGGGUCGUAAAGCUCUGUUGCGGGGGAAAAAAGGCAGCAUCAGGAAAUGGGUGCUGACUGAUGGUGCCCCGCCAGAAAGUCACGGCUAACUACGGGCCAGCAGCCGCGGUAAUACGUAGGCGGCGAGCGGUAUCCGGGAUGAUUGGGCGGAAAGGGUGCGCAGGCGGGCCUGCAAGUCUGGGGUGGAACGCAUGAGCUCAACUCAUGCAUGGCAUUGGCAAA
Molecule: ribosomal RNA, 305 nt
Filed under: uncultured bacterium
Lineage: Bacteria
Description: bacterial SSU rRNA
Rfam family: Bacterial small subunit ribosomal RNA
Source: RNAcentral